GUGGGUGUAGGAAAGUGGCUAAUCCGCCUGAUUUGGGAUCAGGAAAUCGCGAGUUCGAAUCUCGCCACCCGCACCA
This 76-nucleotide transfer RNA is filed under the name Patescibacteria group bacterium. Its description in RNAcentral is "tRNA-Pro". It matches the Rfam family "tRNA". From Rfam's summary of the family: Transfer RNA (tRNA) molecules are approximately 80 nucleotides in length. The record is from RNAcentral.